CCCGCGGGCCAAUCGUUUAAUUAGCCAUGCAGCACCUGUGCUAGCCCCUUACGGACACGGGCUUUCACCCGCUUUAACUAGCAUGUCAAACCCAGGUAAGGUUCUUCGCGUUGCAUCGAAUUAAGCCACAUGCUCCGCCGCUUGUGCGGGCCCCCGUCAAUUCCUUUGAGUUUUAGCCUUGCGGCCGUACUCCCCAGGCGGAGUGCUUAAUGCGUUAGCUGCGGCACAGAGCGGGUUGAAGACCGCCCCACACCUAGCACUCAACGUUUACGGCUGGGACUAC
Molecule: unclassified non-coding RNA, 283 nt
Filed under: uncultured Nocardioidaceae bacterium
Lineage: Bacteria; Bacillati; Actinomycetota; Actinomycetes; Propionibacteriales; Nocardioidaceae
Description: contains 16S-23S intergenic spacer region
Source: RNAcentral